ACCUGUUUGGUAUUUUUAUUUUCUUUGCAAGAGAGUAACUGCAACGUAACGAUGCCUUAACAUGUACUCACUAGUGCGAGCAACCGAAUUCGCUAUAAAUCCUGCCUGACUUUAUGAGAUAUCGUUUCUAUUUUCUAGAUCCGUACCAGCUUCACCGUCUACGAGAUUUCUACGGUAAGAUUAGACAAAAAUUUGGCACCUGGACACAAGAUGGAGAAGAUUGUGGCCUUACAGACAUCGCGCUAUACUUAACAGAUACGAGAUCUUAAAUAUUAUGCUAUUGACUAUGCUAAGUAUAGCGCGAUGUCUGUAAGGCCACAAUCUCCUCCAUCUUGUGCCAAAUUUUUGUCUAAUCUUAUGGUUGUUCCAACGCUGGCGAACGGAAAAACGCGUGGGUGCUAACGCUAUCAUGGGUAGUACCGAUCAAUUGAUUGAUUUGCCACCGCCUCUCCGGAAAACGGUAUCGAAUCAUUCUCCACCUGUGAGAGAAAGGACGACAAAUGGAGGUAGCGGUUUUAUGCUCGGGCAGUAUUACCAAGAAGUAAAAAAUUUUCAAGAGACACUUUGCUUAGGUAAAACAGAGUAUGGUACUAGUCAUAUCAUCUCAGAAUAACAUUAUAUGUAUAUUUUGCUUCCUCAUAGAGGAAGCUUUGUUUUUAAAAUAUGUAGAGGUUUAGCUGUACAGUGUUGACAUUACGAAUAUCCUGUUCAAGUAGUAUACCAUACAGUUCGCGUUUUUAAAAAUGCUUCAUUAACGACUUCGCGAUUUUCGAAUUUUUUUGUUUAGAUUUUAGGACAAGUAAAUGUUUUGAAACGUAAUUAAUUUUGGACCUUUGAAUAUGUAGAUUUGGACAUCUUAAAGUCUUUGACGAAUAAUGAAAUUUAAUUACCGGUUUUUCGUUCUAUUGAAAAUCCUCGGAAAUUUAAACCCGCUUAUUCACACGUUGCACUUGAUACGCUUGCGUUUUUCAAGUCGUUGGAUCCUCGCAAUAUAAAAUUGUUCGAUCCUACUUUACUGCAUUUUUAAUUUUUGAUAAACGCGUUCUGUAUUUUGCGACUAAAUGGCAAUCGUCGACGAUCGAUCUGCAUGGGAUUUCUAUUUCCGUUCGGCUGCACGAUUUGCAUCGCCCUAAUUAAUCAUUAAGCAAUUGGUUGGAAAAAACAUGUAAACUUUUUCCAACCGGAAAUAAUUGAAACUGGGCAUUUAUACGGACUCUGUAAUAGACUGCCGGUUUUUUACAUAUAUAUUUUUAACUCAUUACCGUUUUCGUGCUAGACUUUGAUUGAUGUUGUCUUUCUCCUAUUGAUCUUGGUGAUGCAAUCUCGAAGUGUCACCUGUGUACUGCGAGAAACAUGAAUAAUGAGACGUUAUUAAUAGCAAGAAGGAUGUGUGCAUGUAAAGUAGGUUUUAGCGUUGUAAGACACAUGAGAGGCUUUUAUCGAACGUUAAGCGAAGUAAAAGCAAUUUCUGCGGUAAUAAUGCUCGGCUUGGAGCCGGCCAGACGUUGCUUUUAUUUGCGACAUAUUGUUAUUGUGUAAGUUAUAUAGAUAUAUUGUAGAUAUAUAAAUAUGUAAACCUGCGUGCCUUGUACGCCGUAAAACGCGUUCAUUAUUUAUUUACCAAUGGAUUAUAAUAAACUUUUUAUAUAUCGCAAGUUGCAUGUCGUUUUCCCUUAUUACUAUAAGACUUAAAAUAAGAUUUUUUUGUAACAGAUGCGAGAUUUUAAAUAUUAUGCUAUUGACUGCACGCGCUGAAGGAGGCAAAGUCAAGUAUUCUAAUAAAAUGACUUUUUUCAAUGUUA
Vollenhovia emeryi is the source of this 1802-nucleotide long non-coding RNA. RefSeq lists it as uncharacterized. The record is from RefSeq and is a predicted model, not a curated record. The transcript has 2 exons. NCBI's taxonomy places the organism in Eukaryota, Metazoa, Arthropoda, Insecta, Hymenoptera, Formicidae.